This 491-nucleotide ribosomal RNA is filed under the name uncultured Microbacterium sp. RNAcentral describes it as "bacterial SSU rRNA". It matches the Rfam family "Bacterial small subunit ribosomal RNA", at positions 505 to 997 of the family's 1533-position model. The record is from RNAcentral. Lineage: Bacteria; Bacillati; Actinomycetota; Actinomycetes; Micrococcales; Microbacteriaceae.
GUGCCAGCCGCUGCGGUAAUACGUAGGGUGCAAGCGUUAUCCGGAAUUAUUGGGCGUAAAGAGCUCGUAGGCGGUUUGUCGCGUCUGCUGUGAAAUCCCGAGGCUCAACCUCGGGCCUGCAGUGGGUACGGGCAGACUAGAGUGCGGUAGGGAGAUUGGAAUUCCUGGUGUAGCGGUGGAAUGCGCAGAUAUCAGGAGGAACACCGAUGGCGAAGGCAGAUCUCUGGGCCGUAACUGACGCUGAGGAGCGAAAGGGUGGGGAGCAAACAGGCUUAGAUACCCUGGUAGUCCACCCCGUAAACGUUGGGAACUAGUUGUGGGUCCAUUCUACGGAUUCCGUGACGAAGCUAACGCAUUAAGUUCCCCGCCUGGGAGUACGGCCGCAAGGCUAAAACUCAAAGGAAUUGACGGGACCCGCACAAGCGCGGAGCAGUGCGGAUUAAUUCGAUGCAACGCGAAGAACCUUACCAAGGCUUGACAUAUACGGGAAC